UGCUAGUUGUGCGGGUUUAGACCCGCAGCGCGAAAGCUCAGUAACACGUGGCCAAACUACCCUGUGGAUGGGAACAAUCUCGGGAAACUGAGGCUAAUUCCCAAUAACGCUCCACCCCUGGAACGGGCGGAGCUGGAAACGCUACGGCGCCACAGGAUGUGGCUGCGGUCGAUUAGGUAGACGGUGGGGUAACGGCCCACCGUGCCAAUAAUCGGUACGGGUUGUGAGAGCAAGAGCCCGGAGACGGAAUCUGAGACAAGAUUCCGGGCCCUACGGGGCGCAGCAGGCGCGAAACCUUUACACUGUACGCAAGUGCGAUAAGGGGACUCCGAGUGUGAAGGCAUAGAGCCUUCACUUUUGUACACCGUAAGGUGGUGUACGAAUAAGGGCUGGGCAAGACCGGUGCCAGCCGCCGCGGUAAUACCGGCAGCCCGAGUGAUGGCCGAUAUUAUUGGGCCUAAAGCGUCCGUAGCUGGCCGGACAAGUCCGUUGGGAAAUCUGUUCGCUUAACGAGCAGGCGUCCAGCGGAAACUGUUCGGCUUGGGACCGGAAGACCUGAGGGGUACGUCCGGGGUAGGAGUGAAAUCCUGUAAUCCUGGACGGACCACCGGUGGCGAAAGCGCCUCAGGAGGACGGAUCCGACAGUGAGGGACGAAAGCUAGGGUCUCGAACCGGAUUAGAUACCCGGGUAGUCCUAGCUGUAAACGAUGCCCGCUAGGUGUUGGCGCAGGCUACGAGCCUGCGCUGUGCCGUAGGGAAGCCGAU
Molecule: ribosomal RNA, 765 nt
Filed under: Halobacterium sp. HiH1
Lineage: Archaea; Methanobacteriati; Methanobacteriota; Halobacteria; Halobacteriales; Halobacteriaceae
Description: bacterial SSU rRNA
Rfam family: Archaeal small subunit ribosomal RNA
Source: RNAcentral